RNAcentral lists this ribosomal RNA (444 nucleotides) under uncultured bacterium. RNAcentral describes it as "bacterial SSU rRNA". It matches the Rfam family "Bacterial small subunit ribosomal RNA", at positions 330 to 792 of the family's 1533-position model. The record is from RNAcentral.
UCCAGACUCCUACGGGAGGCAGCAGUGGGGGAUAUUGCACAAUGGGGGAAACCCUGAUGCAGCGACGCCGCGUGGGUGAAGAAGCGCCUCGGCGCGUAAAGCCCUGUCAGCAGGGAAGAAAAUGACGGUACCUGAAGAAGAAGCUCCGGCUAACUACGUGCCAGCAGCCGCGGUAAUACGUAGGGAGCGAGCGUUGUCCGGAAUUACUGGGUGUAAAGGGAGCGUAGGCGGGACUGCAAGUUGGGUGUCAAAUCUACCGGCUCAACCGGUAGCCGCACUCAAAACUGCAGUUCUUGAGUGAAGUAGAGGCAGGCGGAAUUCCUAGUGUAGCGGUGAAAUGCGUAGAUAUUAGGAGGAACACCAGUGGCGAAGGCGGCCUACUGGACGGUGACUGACGCUGAGGCUCGAAAGCGUGGGGAGCAAACAGGAUUAGAUACCCGGGUA